RNAcentral lists this long non-coding RNA (841 nucleotides) under Equus caballus (horse). RNAcentral's name for it is "lncRNA (ENSECAG00000052996.1)". The record is from RNAcentral. Lineage: Eukaryota; Metazoa; Chordata; Mammalia; Perissodactyla; Equidae.
UGCGAUGCUUCCUGGAGCUAAUCUGAUGCUUAUGAAAGCGAUUUCCUUCUUACAAAAACACCAGGCCCAAACAGAAACUAACCUCAUCCUGCAGAUAAAGAAUGUUUGUGCCUUGCAAGGCUUGUCAAACUCUCUCAGCUACAGCCAAAACUUAAGUAUUUUCCCAGCAGCGAAAGGCAGCUGCUCAUUUGAGGAAGCGGAGUGGGCACACGCCCCCACACUGAAGGCCGCACCUUACCAGACCCGCCCUCUGGGUGCUGGGAUGGCUGUAAAGGAGGAGGACCCAGCCAAGCAGCCAGACUCAUCCCAGCUCCGGGAAGGCUGAGUACACUGAAGGAUUCUGCAGGAAAUGACAAGAAGCUGAAGAACUGUUCCGUUGAGGCACACCAACUGCGACAGGCUCCUGGCUGCGCCCACAUAGAAGCCCCAGCACAGGGCAUGCAAAUGCAAACCUCUGCCUUCCAGGAAACUCAGCAAACCUUCUUCCCUGAGGUAAGACUUGGGAUUGUGGUCAUCAUGAACGAAGCACAGUAACGACUGAGAGAGUCACUGGAAGCCAGUACACACACAGGCACUCUCGAUGAGGCAGCCUCAUGAGCAAUGUAACCACCAUUAAAUACAUGGUAUUAGGAAGCUGCAGAAGAACUACGUUGUUUCAGUACAAACAAGUCCAGAAAAGCCACAGCAUUGUGAGUCAUAAUCACGUUGCAUGAGAGAUUUACAAUUAGCUAAGAUUUUUAACAAAAAAGAACAUGACGAGAUGGUUCCUGGACCCAAACAGAAAGAGACAGUACCUGGACACUAAGAAGAAUCUUCACAAAGGAGGACAAUAAAUAAAUGU